RNAcentral lists this ribosomal RNA (520 nucleotides) under uncultured bacterium. Its description in RNAcentral is "bacterial SSU rRNA". It matches the Rfam family "Bacterial small subunit ribosomal RNA", at positions 353 to 863 of the family's 1533-position model. The record is from RNAcentral.
AGUGGGGAAUAUUGCGCAAUGGGGGAAACCCUGACGCAGCGACGCCGCGUGAGCGAAGAAGGCCUUAGGGUUGUAAAGCUCUGUUCUAUGGGACGAAGUCCUUGACUGUGAAUAAUGGUCAAGGUUGACGGUACCAUAGGAGGAAGCCCCGGCUAACUACGUGCCAGCAGCCGCGGUAAGACGUAGGGGGCGAGCGUUGUCCGGAAUUACUGGGCGUAAAGAGCACGUAGGCGGGACCUUAAGUCAGGUGUGAAAGACCGGGGCCUAACCCCGGGGUGGCACUUGAAACUGGGGUUCUUGAGGGCAGGAGAGGACAGUAGAAUUCCUGGUGUAGCGGUGAAAUGCGUAGAAAUCAGGAGGAAUACCAGUGGCGAAGGCGACUGUCUGGACUGACCCUGACGCUGAGGUGCGAAAGCGUGGGUAGCAAACAGGAUUAGAUACCCUGGUAGUCCACGCUGUAAACGAUGGAUACUAGGUGUGGGAGGUAUCGACCCCUUCCGUGCCGGAGCUAACGCAAUAA